Molecule: non-coding RNA, 45 nt
Organism: Schistosoma mansoni
Lineage: Eukaryota; Metazoa; Platyhelminthes; Trematoda; Strigeidida; Schistosomatidae
Source: Rfam
AUUCAGCUUAUAAGUCCCAAAUAGGACGAAACACGCGUCCUGGAU